Molecule: ribosomal RNA, 797 nt
Filed under: Mycobacterium sp.
Lineage: Bacteria; Bacillati; Actinomycetota; Actinomycetes; Mycobacteriales; Mycobacteriaceae
Description: bacterial SSU rRNA
Rfam family: Bacterial small subunit ribosomal RNA
Source: RNAcentral
UGAGUAACACGUGGGUGAUCUGCCCUGCACUUUGGGAUAAGCCUGGGAAACUGGGUCUAAUACCGAAUAGGACCGCGCUCUUCAUGGGGUGUGGUGGAAAGCUUUUGCGGUGUGGGAUGGGCCCGCGGCCUAUCAGCUUGUUGGUGGGGUAAUGGCCUACCAAGGCGACGACGGGUAGCCGGCCUGAGAGGGUGACCGGCCACACUGGGACUGAGAUACGGCCCAGACUCCUACGGGAGGCAGCAGUGGGGAAUAUUGCACAAUGGGCGCAAGCCUGAUGCAGCGACGCCGCGUGAGGGAUGACGGCCUUCGGGUUGUAAACCUCUUUCAAUAGGGACGAAGCGCAAGUGACGGUACCUAUAGAAGAAGGACCGGCCAACUACGUGCCAGCAGCCGCGGUAAUACGUAGGGUCCGAGCGUUGUCCGGAAUUACUGGGCGUAAAGAGCUCGUAGGUGGUUUGUCGCGUUGUUCGUGAAAACUCACAGCUUAACUGUGGGCGUGCGGGCGAUACGGGCAGACUAGAGUACUGCAGGGGAGACUGGAAUUCCUGGUGUAGCGGUGGAAUGCGCAGAUAUCAGGAGGAACACCGGUGGCGAAGGCGGGUCUCUGGGCAGUAACUGACGCUGAGGAGCGAAAGCGUGGGGAGCGAACAGGAUUAGAUACCCUGGUAGUCCACGCCGUAAACGGUGGGUACUAGGUGUGGGUUUCCUUCCUUGGGAUCCGUGCCGUAGCUAACGCAUUAAGUACCCCGCCUGGGGGAGUACGGNCCGCAAGGCUAAAACUCAAAGGAAUUGAC